This 1200-nucleotide long non-coding RNA is filed under the name Gossypium barbadense (sea-island cotton). RNAcentral describes it as "long non-coding RNA (GBAR_LNC003869)". Lineage: Eukaryota; Viridiplantae; Streptophyta; Magnoliopsida; Malvales; Malvaceae. The record is from RNAcentral.
UGUUGUAGUCUUCAAACUUUGAUUUUUCAACUCUUUUAAGUAAAGUUGUAAUCUGUUUCAAUAUUGCCAAAAACAAGAAUUUAAAUUUUGUUUUUCAAAUUCUAAAAAAUAUAGUAAUUUUAACGUUUCAGUGUUGUAACAAGUCUAUUUUGUCUGGCCCAAGCCUAAAUCAACAAAAACCAAAAUAUAAAAAAUAAUUAAAUUACAAAUCCAAACACAAAAAAAACUAAGCCCAAAAUUACAACAGCCCAUAGCCCAAAAACUUAAGAAUUUUCACCAAAAAAAGAGAGGGCAGAAACCCUAGCUCCCAUGUACGCCGCUCCUCCUCGGGCGCACCGCUUGCGCCUCAUCCCGAGGCCUGACCCCUUUGCUCAGCCUUGCACCGAAAUGGCAAGGUCUCUUCUCCAUUGACCAAGCAAAACCUGCAAAGAACACAAAAGCAGAGAAAUGACAGCAAGCAAAUAGAAGCAACCAAACAGUAAAAUAGGCAGUGUAAUCGACUAUAAAGCCAAAGGAGAAAAUCAAUUGUAAAGGGUUUUUUUUUUAAAAAAAAAUACAAAAAGAUUGUAUUACACGAAUAAAAAGAAUCAAAAAGCAAAAAAAAAAAAAAGAAGGUUCAUCUUGAUUUCCAUUUCUCAUGUUCUUUACGAUUUUCACUUUUUAUUUUUGUUAUUUUUGUUAUUUAUUUAUAAAUCUGUUUUAAAUAAAAGAACGAAAGGUGGAAAGCUUACCUGAAAUCCCUCACGGUUGUGACAUCGGAGAGCCCCUUCUCCGUCGCCGAGGUCUGGCCCGAAAGGGGGUUGAGGGUCUCCUCCCUUCGGCGUCUUUGGGUGUUGGUAAUAUGGCCUUCAGAGGCGCUCCAAGGCCACUGGCCACGGCGGCGGUAGGACGAGUCUCCGGGGAACCUGGUCGUCCACCAUGGGGAGAGAAGGGAGAGAGUUUGGGAGGAUUUCAGUUUUUUUUUCUAAAAGGGAAGGCUGAAAAUGAUUUUUAAAAAAAAAAUUGGGCUUAAAUACAACCUUUGAAACGGCGUCGUUUUUGGGUGGGAGUCCAGGUGCCAAAACGGCACCGUUUUGGACCACCCGUGUGACUUGAUCCAUAACCGGAGGGGAUCCGCGCGUUUUAGACUUAUGGUCUAUUUGUGCGAUCGGUCAUUCCACUUUAUGGACUGUUCUGUUUUAGUUUCCUUUAUUUAUUUUC